GCACCCGUAGCUCAGCUGGAUAGAGCACCAGACUAAGAAUCUGGGGGUCGGGAGUUCGAAUCUCUCCGGGUGCGCCA
This 77-nucleotide transfer RNA is filed under the name Pseudomonadales bacterium. Its description in RNAcentral is "tRNA-Leu". It matches the Rfam family "tRNA". From Rfam's summary of the family: Transfer RNA (tRNA) molecules are approximately 80 nucleotides in length. Their secondary structure includes four short double-helical elements and three loops (D, anti-codon, and T loops). Lineage: Bacteria; Pseudomonadati; Pseudomonadota; Gammaproteobacteria; Pseudomonadales. The record is from RNAcentral.